AAAUAUGAAGUGAUAAAUCACAAUUAGUUUCGACCUAACUUAAGAUAUUUAAUUAUCCUUAUUUU
RNAcentral lists this transfer RNA (65 nucleotides) under Timema californicum (California timema). Its description in RNAcentral is "tRNA-Arg". Lineage: Eukaryota; Metazoa; Arthropoda; Insecta; Phasmatodea; Timematidae. The record is from RNAcentral.